RNAcentral lists this ribosomal RNA (497 nucleotides) under uncultured bacterium. Its description in RNAcentral is "partial 16S ribosomal RNA". It matches the Rfam family "Bacterial small subunit ribosomal RNA", at positions 28 to 507 of the family's 1533-position model. The record is from RNAcentral.
GAUGAACGCUGGCGGCGUGCCUAAUACAUGCAAGUCGAGCGAACAGACGAGGAGCUUGCUCCUCUGACGUUAGCGGCGGGCGGGUGAGUAACACGUGGAUAACCUACCUAUAAGACUGGGAUAACUUCGGGAAACCGGAGCUAAUACCGGAUAAUAUAUUGAACCGCAUGGUUCAAUAGUGAAAGACGGUUUUGCUGUCACUUAUAGAUGGAUCCGCGCCGCAUUAGCUAGUUGGUAAGGUAACGGCUUACCAAGGCGACGAUGCGUAGCCGACCUGAGAGGGUGAUCGGCCACACUGGAACUGAGACACGGUCCAGACUCCUACGGGAGGCAGCAGUAGGGAAUCUUCCGCAAUGGGCGAAAGCCUGACGGAGCAACGCCGCGUGAGUGAUGAAGGUCUUCGGAUCGUAAAACUCUGUUAUUAGGGAAGAACAAAUGUGUAAGUAACUAUGCACGUCUUGACGGUACCUAAUCAGAAAGCCACGGCUAACUACGUG